RNAcentral lists this long non-coding RNA (1877 nucleotides) under Neodiprion lecontei (redheaded pine sawfly). RNAcentral describes it as "uncharacterized LOC124295212". Lineage: Eukaryota; Metazoa; Arthropoda; Insecta; Hymenoptera; Diprionidae. The record is from RNAcentral.
UUUUCAUAUUUGAGCAGCGUUUCAUCUGUAAUUUGACGUUCCCCGUGAAAUAACAAAAUAAUGCUGGCGAUAUCAACUUUUUGAGAUGAAAAUCACCUCUCAUCCUUUCAAUGGUGUUACAGUAUGGUUGAUGACGUAGUUUCAAACUUUGUUGCUGGAGUGAAGAUCUAGUAUUGAAUUGAGUUGCGUGCACAGUAGUCACACCGAAUAUGGAACACUAAGUUUAAUAGAAUUAAAUACUCGUGAAAAGUGAAUAGACUCGGCUUUAUACAUUUUACAACAAGUUUAUCUAAGACACCUAAUUUUCCAAAUGGAAUAGCGGUAAUCUGGUCCAGGCCUCAUUAAUUGUUAUAAAUUGAAAUCGAUUUCUCAUUAGUGUGAAAAAUGGAAAGUUUAGCCACUGUUAUAUACCAUUUAUUUUCCUUGCAUACUGUAAAAAUAUGAUCCAUAACAGUUUUUUUGUCAUCGUCGAAUUUCACUUUGUCACAUUUUAUCUAGUAAUUAAUUAAAAUCAGCAGACGGAAGACAAAGAUGUCUAGUAUUAAUAUAGAAAUUCCAUUUUUUUGACGUAAAUAGAAGAUAAAAUUUUGGUUUACCUAAUUUAACCAUUCUUCCGUUGAUGUUGAAUUACGUCCCUAUUCUUACAGCUCAAUGUUGUCAUAGAAACUCAUUCUAUGAAUUUUAUCAAAGUUAUAAGUUUAUUGUAACUUUACGUGGCUUCGAGCGAAUAUUAAUAUAUAACUCUGAUCGGUGUGAAAAUAGUCUUAUGAUUCGAUCACAAAGUAUGAUGAUCCCCACACUAGCAAUUAGAGACGACAAUUCUAUUUUUUAUAAUCUCAACACAAAUAAUUUGUACCGUAUUUUUCUGACGACAUAAAACAAUUCAGGAUAGUACUUCCCCAUAAUGCAGAUGUACAUCAUGUGACAUUUGGUAUACAUCAUUUCAGCUGGUAACUUCAAAAAAUAUUUCACUUCCUCGUUUGCGGGUUCAGAUGACAUAUUUCUCGGCAUUACCAUCUACUUAAAAUUGAUUCCGAAGAACUGGAAAAUUGAUAUAAGGAUUAGUCGACCAGUUACAUCUUUAAUGGCAAUGUCAAGCGCAAAAUGUGCCAACGUCUUAAUCUAUUGGAAUGGUUUUCUUUUGUCUUAUUUAAGUAUAUAUUCCUUCAAUAAUUUUCUGUACAUGGUAAGAAGAGUUAGACAAAAUGGAAGUUGAAAUAUCAAGGGCCAAUUUCAGGUUACAUAACUAGAUUUAAAGAUGUUCAGGCUGCUUCGACGUUGAUGUAAUGUUACGAAUCUGAUUAUUCGAAUUAAAAUCUAGAUUUGUAAACUGAAUGACCUGUGUAUUUUAACAUUGAAUAGCUGAUACUGAUGAUUCACUAAUGAUACUUUGAUUUUCAGCUUGGACAGCAAUUAGGAUAAAUAUAUUUAUUUUGUACACCAAGUUAUCAUUAAAUAGAUCCCAAUGUUGCAAAGUGCAUUCUCUGCUCGUAUCAAUCGACGCAUUAUAAAAUAUAUGUAUAUUGUAGCAUUAUAAAAUUGAUGAUGACUUGGGUAAAUUGAUCAUUUUUACAGCACGGAAUCAUUGUGUUUUUUUCAGCGAAAAUAAGCAGCUCAUUACUAUAAAAUAAUUCAACGAAAAAUCAAAUAAAAAUAUAGUAUUUAUUUAUCGUAUUUGACUGAUAUUACAACUGGCUUGUUUGGUGUACGUUCAUGAAGUUCUUUUUCUUUGUGGCAUAUGAAGCUCUCACAUUGCAAUGAUGAGCAAGCUUGAUCGAAUAUGUACAGCAAACAAACCAGGAAAAAUGUUUACUUAAGAAUAUGUAAAUAACUCAAGAUCAAACCUUUCGUCAGCUGUGGCACUCUCAUACUAUUCA